RNAcentral lists this long non-coding RNA (1761 nucleotides) under Ficedula albicollis (Collared flycatcher). RNAcentral describes it as "lncRNA (ENSFALG00000027007.1)". The record is from RNAcentral. Lineage: Eukaryota; Metazoa; Chordata; Aves; Passeriformes; Muscicapidae.
AUGGCUGAACUGGGCCAUUCCAGAGGGAUUUCCCACCCUCAGCCAUUCCCACCGUCCCAAAUCUCCCAAAAUUCACCUCCUGCUCGUUGUGGGCCUGGAUGGCCUCGUUCCACCUUUUCCGGUUGCUCGCCAGCAUUUCCCGCCGCUCCUCCUCGAACGUUUUCUGCGGGUGAGGCGGGAUUUACCGAAUUCCCGCACUGGGAACAGCCGGGCACGGACGCUUCCCAAACCUUCUUCCCAAAGUCAUCCCCAGCCCCUCAGAUCCCUCGAUUCCGGCCUCAUCCACCCAGAUUUUAUUACAGCACCGUGACUCCAAGGUUUUCCUUAAAUUUUUUCUUCUCCCAGACGAUACAGAGGAGCAAUUUUCCUGCCCUUUUCCCCGUUUUUCCAGCUUUUUUCCCCCUAGUUUUCCUGGUUUUUUUCCCAGGUUUUCCUGCCUUUUCCCCCCACACACUUUUCCAGCUUUUUCCCCUCCAGUUUUCCUGCAUUCUGCCCCAAAUUUCCUGCCUUUUUCCCCCAGUUUUCAUGCUGUUUUUUUCUGGUUUUCCUGUUUUUUUUCUCGGUUUUCCUGCUUUUUUUUCACAGUUUUCCUGCUGUUUUCCUGGUUUUCCUGUUUUUUUCACAGUUUUCCUGUUUUUUCCCCCAGUUUUCCUGCUUUUUUCCCUCCUAGUUUUUCUAUUUUUCCCUUGGUUUCCUGUUUUCCACACCCCCCCAUUUUUCCUGUUUUUUUUCCCCUGUUUUCCUGCUUUUCCCUCCAAUUUUCCUGCUGUUUCCCCCCUAGUUUUCAUGGAUUUUACCAUGGUUUUCCUCCUUUUUUUCCUCCUAUUUUCCUGCUUUUUUUCCUGGUUUUCCUGUUUUUUCCGCAGUUUUCCUGCUUUUUUUCCCCUGUUUUUUCUGCCUUUUCCCCCCAGUUUUCCUUGGGUUUUUUCCCCAGUUUUCCUGCUCUUUUUCAUAGUUUUCCUGCUUUUUUUCACAGCUUUCCUGCCCCUAGUUUUUCUAUUUUUCCCCUGGUUUCCUGUUUUCCACACCCCCCAUUUUUCCUGGUUUUUUUUCCCCUGUUUUCCUGCUUUUCUCCCCAAUUUUCCUGCUGUUUCCCCCCUAGUUUUCAUGGAUUUUACCAUGGUUUUCCUCCUUUUUUUCCUCCUAUUUUCCUGCUUUUUUUCCUGGUUUUCCUGUUUUUUCCGCAGUUUUCCUGCUUUUUUUCCCCUGUUUUUUCUGCCUUUUCCCCCCAGUUUUCCUUGGGUUUUUUUCCCAGUUUUCCUGCUCUUUUUCGUAGUUUUCCUGCUUUUUUUCACAGCUUUCCUGCUUUUUUCCCCCCCAGUUUUCCUGCUUUUUUUCCUGGUUUUCCUGGAUUUUUUUCCCCAGUUUUCCUGCUCUUUUUCCCCGCUUUUCCUGGGUUUUUUCACUUUUCCUCCUUUUUUGCCCCCAUUUUUGCUGCUUUUUUCCCCCCAGUUUUCCUGCUUUUUCCCCCCAGUUAUCCUUGUUUUCCCCAGUUCUCCUGCCCUUUUUUCCCCAGUUUUCCUGGGUUUUUUCCUGGUUUUCCUCCUUUUUAUUCCCCUGCUUUCCUGCCUUUUUUUCCCAGUUUUCCUGUUUUUCCCCCAGUUUUCCUGCAUUUUUCCCCAGUUUUCCUGCUUUUUUCCCACAGUUUUCCUGCUUUUUUCUCCCCCAGUUUUCCUGCAUUUUCCCCAGUUUUCCUGCUUUUUCCCCCCAAUUUUCCAGCUUUUUUCCCCCAGUUUUUCUACCUUUCUUCCAUUUUCCUGA